Molecule: ribosomal RNA, 252 nt
Filed under: uncultured bacterium
Lineage: Bacteria
Description: partial 16S ribosomal RNA
Rfam family: Bacterial small subunit ribosomal RNA
Source: RNAcentral
CGGGGUGAGUAACGCGUGGAGAACCUGCCGUAUACUGGGGGAUAACACUUAGAAAUAGGUGCUAAUACCGCAUAAGCGCACAGCUUCGCAUGAAGCAGUGUGGAAAACUCCGGUGGUAUACGAUGGAUCCGCGUCUGAUUAGCUGGUUGGCGGGGUAAAGGCCCACCAAGGCGACGAUCAGUAGCCGGCCUGAGAGGGUGAACGGCCACAUUGGGACUGAGACACGGCCCAAACUCCUACGGAAGGCAGCAG